This 327-nucleotide ribosomal RNA is filed under the name uncultured eukaryote. RNAcentral's name for it is "partial 18S ribosomal RNA". It matches the Rfam family "Eukaryotic small subunit ribosomal RNA", at positions 1470 to 1796 of the family's 1831-position model. The record is from RNAcentral.
CCCUUAGAUGUUCUGGGCCGCACACGCGCUACACUGAAGGAGGCAGCGUGUACUCCUGGAUCGAAAGAUUUGGGUAACCUGCGAAUCUCCUUCGUGCUAGGGAUUGAGGUUUGCAAUUAUCCUUCAUGAACGAGGAAUUCCCAGUAAGUGCAAGUCAUAAGCUUGCGCUGACUACGUCCCUGCCCUUUGUACACACCGCCCGUCGCUACUACCGAUUGAAUGAUUUAGUGAGGACUUCGGACUGGGACCGAUGCGGCUUUCGGGCUGCGUCGGUAUUCUGGAAAGAUGUCCAAACUGUAUCAUUUAGAGGAAGUAAAAGUCGUAACA